RNAcentral lists this ribosomal RNA (497 nucleotides) under uncultured bacterium. RNAcentral describes it as "partial 16S ribosomal RNA". It matches the Rfam family "Bacterial small subunit ribosomal RNA", at positions 28 to 507 of the family's 1533-position model. The record is from RNAcentral.
GAUGAACGCUGGCGGUGUGCCUAAUACAUGCAAGUCGAGCGAACAGACGAGGAGCUUACUCCUCUGACGUUAGCGGCGGACGGGUGAGUAACACGUGGAUAACCUACCUAUAAGACUGGGAUAACUUCGGGAAACCGGAGCUAAUACCGGAUAACAUGUUGAACCGCAUGGUUCAACAGUGAAAGACGGUCUUGCUGUCACUUAUAGAUGGAUCCGCGUCGCAUUAGCUAGUUGGUAAGGUAACGGCUUACCAAGGCAACGAUGCGUAGCCGACCUGAGAGGGUGAUCGGCCACCCUGGACCUGAGCAACGGCCCAGAAUACUACGGGAGGCAGCCGUAGGGAAUCUUCCGACAUGGGCGAAAGCCUGACGGAGCAACGCCGCGUGAGUGAAGAAGGUCUUCGGAUCGUAAAACUCUGUUAUUAGGGAAGAACAAAUGUGUAAGUAACUAUGCACGUCUUGACGGUACCUAAUCAGAAAGCCACGGCUAACUACGUG